AGAACUGGGCAUCUCAAAACACCAGAUCCACUGAAGACUUCAACCUGAAAAAGGGUGAUGCUGCUGAUGUGGUCUGAUUCCCAAGCUGGAGGUAUUGGCGUGUGUCCUGCCCUAGUGCUGCUCCCUGAUGGGGAGCAUGCUCAGUUUCCUGCAUUCAGGUACGAGCAGAGACUUGGCAGGAUCUGCCCCGUUCAGAGUUGCAGGAAGAGCCCUGGAUGCCUGUCCCAAAUUGGAAUAAGUGGGAGGGAGCCACAGGCUGGUACAGAUACUGGGAAUACAGCAGGAAAUGAAACUGAAAAAAAUCCUUGCCUUCAUGGAACUUACAUUCCAGUGACUUCACCCAAAGACUCCAUUUAAAACACAAGAAAUUGAGAUACUGUCAACAAUAACUUAGCACUACUCCGCUACCUGUCAGGGCUACUUCGGCUGUUUAUACCAGAGUCAUGAAAAUGUGAAAUAACUUAAAGGCAAGAUGCAUUACUAGUAUGUAACUAAAGUGAACCGCCUGUGAUUUGCAGAGAAUAGAAGUGUGAUAGAAGUAGAUUGGAAAAGAUAGAGCAAAGGAGGAAGGCUGAACAAGGACCUGCGACAUUUUCUCAAUCAGCGAUUCCAGAAGGGGUCUCCUGAUCAUGAGCUCCAGCAGACCAUAAGGGAUAACCUUUACCGCCAUGCUGUGCCUUAUUCUGGCAGUAGAAUGCAACGAUUGUGAACAAUUGCUUGUGCUAGUCAUAUGCGGGUUCUAACAGAGACCCUUUAAAAAAACUGAAGGAAGCAGGGCAUGAUGGCUCACGCCUAUAAUCCCAACACUUCGGGAAGCCAAGGUGAGCAGAUCAUUUGAGCCCAGGAGUUUGAGACCAGCCUGGGCAACAUUGGGAGACCCCAUCUCUACAAAAAAUUACCCAGGCACAACCCGAUCUCCCAGAGAAGGAGAAGUGCCUGGCGUGGACUAUAACUUUCUGACUGUGAAGGAGUUCUUGGACCUCGAGCAGAGCGGGACUCUUCUGGAAGUCGGCACCUAUGAAGGAAACUAUUAUGGGACACCCAAGCCUCCUAGCCAGCCAGUCAGUGGGAAAGUGAUCACGACGGAUGCCUUGCACAGCCUUCAGUCUGGCUCUAAGCAGUCGACCCCGAAGCGAACCAAGUCCUACAAUGAUAUGCAAAAUGCUGGCAUAGUCCAUGCGGAGAAUGAGGAGGAGGAUGACGUUCCUGAAAUGAACAGCAGCUUUACAGCAGCCGAUUCUGGUGAACAAGACGAGCACACUCUCCAAGAAACAGCAUUACCACCUGUGAAUAGUAGCAUCAUCGCUGCUCCCAUCACGGACCCUUCUCAGAAGUUCCCUCAAUACCUACCUCUUUCUGCAGAGGAUAAUUUAGGUCCUCUACCUGAAAACUGGGAGAUGGCCUAUACUGAAAAUGGAGAAGUCUAUUUUAUAGACCAUAACACGAAAACAACAUCUUGGUUAGACCCUCGGUGCCUAAACAAGCAGCAGAAGCCUCUGGAAGAGUGUGAAGAUGAUGAAGGGGUACACACCGAGGAGCUGGACAGUGAACUAGAACUGCCUGCUGGUUGGGAAAAGAUUGAAGACCCUGUCUAUGGUAUCUACUAUGUAGACCACAUCAACAGGAAGACACAAUAUGAGAACCCGGUUCUAGAAGCCAAACGGAAGAAGCAGCUUGAGCAGCAGCAGCAGCAGCAACAGCAGCAGCAACAGCAGCAGCAGCAGCAGACAGAAGAAUGGACAGAAGAUCACUCAGCCCUUGUGCCUCCUGUUAUUCCAAACCACCCUCCAAGCAAUCCAGAGCCAGCCAGAGAAGCUCCACUUCAGGGCAAACCCUUUUUUACACGAAACCCUUCUGAGUUGAAAGGCAAGUUCAUUCACACAAAGCUGCGGAAAAGCAGUCGUGGCUUUGGCUUCACGGUGGUUGGAGGGGAUGAACCUGAUGAGUUUCUCCAGAUCAAGAGCUUGGUCCUAGAUGGUCCUGCUGCAUUGGAUGGCAAGAUGGAAACAGGGGAUGUGAUUGUAAGUGUGAAUGACACCUGUGUUUUGGGACACACACAUGCUCAAGUUGUGAAG
This 2075-nucleotide small RNA is filed under the name Pan troglodytes (chimpanzee). Its description in RNAcentral is "processed transcript". The record is from RNAcentral. Lineage: Eukaryota; Metazoa; Chordata; Mammalia; Primates; Hominidae.